This 650-nucleotide long non-coding RNA is filed under the name Gossypium barbadense (sea-island cotton). RNAcentral describes it as "long non-coding RNA (GBAR_LNC012608)". Lineage: Eukaryota; Viridiplantae; Streptophyta; Magnoliopsida; Malvales; Malvaceae. The record is from RNAcentral.
GGUGAUUUCAAAUCGUUUGUCUGCUCAGAAAUUAAGAGUCAGGAAGCUUCAACAUCUUUGUGAUAUGGAAAAGAAGGUGGAGUCCUUAGAGGUAAACUUAAUCACUUUCUAGAUUCCUUCCAUAUCUAAUUAAUUUCUUACGUUGAUGAAAAUUUUUAUUGUUUUUAAAAAAAAUCUUUUCAAACUCUAGUUGUUGUCCUCUCCUCUGCUGCAAAUCAAGCAAGACAAUGGUGGAUGGUAAGGCACCUGAACUCUUAUUUUCUCACUUUUAUUACUUAAACUAAAGAAAAUGGAGCAACAUCAAAUGUUAAGGAAAGAAAAUGUAAAUAUAGUUAUGUGUAAGGUUUUUGUGUUGUUGGUCCUGUUUUUGAAAGGUGUGUUGGGUAAAUUUGAGUAGUUGUGCUUCCAUUUCAUGAUAUCAAUUUGUUUAAUUUAGAAAACUACAAAAACUGGUAUUGGUUUCGAUUAUGUUUAAAAUCAAUACGUAAAGGGUGGGGAUUAUGGGUAGUUAGAGAGAGAAUGUAAAUGUUUAGUUUUAUUUUUUAAUGGAGUAUUAUAGGUAGGAAGUUGGAACCCAUCGUGUUCAGUAUUUUCUAUUUAUUCAUUUAAAGCUGUUGUUGGUUGGAAAGCAUCUGAGAGGCGAUGUUUUA